RNAcentral lists this ribosomal RNA (304 nucleotides) under Prevotella sp. RNAcentral describes it as "partial 23S ribosomal RNA". It matches the Rfam family "Bacterial large subunit ribosomal RNA", at positions 2609 to 2925 of the family's 2925-position model. Lineage: Bacteria; Pseudomonadati; Bacteroidota; Bacteroidia; Bacteroidales; Prevotellaceae. The record is from RNAcentral.
GUUCAGAACGUCGUGAGACAGUUCGGUCUCUAUCUAUCGUGGGCGCAGGAGAUUUGCGUGGUGCCGUCACUAGUACGAGAGGACCGUGAUGGACAGACCUCCGGUUUACCAGUUGUGCCGCCAGGUGCACCGCUGGGUAUCUGAGUCUGGAUUGGAUAAGCGCUGAAAGCAUCUAAGUGCGAAGCCAGCCGCAAGAUUAGAUUUCCACAGAGGGUCGUCGCAGACUACGACGUUGAUAGGAGGCAGGUGUAAAGACGGUGACGUCAAAGCCGAGCCUUACUAAUAGCCCGAAAGUUUCGCACAU